ACGAACGCUGGCGGCGUGCCUAAUACAUGCAAGUAGAACGCUGAAGAGAGGAGCUUGCUCUUCUUGGAUGAGUUGCGAACGGGUGAGUAACGCGUAGGUAACCUGCCUUGUAGCGGUGGAUAACUAUUGGAAACGAUAGCUAAUACCGCAUAACAAUGGAUGACACAUGUCAUUUAUUUGAAAGGGGCAAUUGCUCCACUACAAGAUGGACCUGCGUUGUAUUAGCUAGUAGGUGAGGUAACGGCUCACCUAGGCGACGAUACAUAGCCGACCUGAGAGGGUGAUCGGCCACACUGGGACUGAGACACGGCCCAGACUCCUACGGGAGGCAGCAGUAGGGAAUCUUCGGCAAUGGGGGCAACCCUGACCGAGCAACGCCGCGUGAGUGAAGAAGGUUUUCGGAUCGUAAAGCUCUGUUGUAAGUCAAGAACGAGUGUGAGAGUGGAAAGUUCACACUGUGACGGUAGCUUACCAGAAAGGGACGGCUAACUACGUG
This 496-nucleotide ribosomal RNA is filed under the name uncultured bacterium. RNAcentral describes it as "partial 16S ribosomal RNA". It matches the Rfam family "Bacterial small subunit ribosomal RNA", at positions 29 to 507 of the family's 1533-position model. The record is from RNAcentral.